Molecule: long non-coding RNA, 811 nt
Organism: Neopelma chrysocephalum (saffron-crested tyrant-manakin)
Lineage: Eukaryota; Metazoa; Chordata; Aves; Passeriformes; Pipridae
Exons: 4
Source: RefSeq, a predicted model, not a curated record
UUCCGCCGGCGGGAGGGCGGUGCUGCUGCCGCCGCCAUUUCGGGGCGCGUCCCCCCGCCCCGGCAGCCGAGGGGCGGGACGGGACGGAAGGCUCUUCUCCUGUCCAGCGCCUUCCACCCGGAGUGGUUUUCUUUUACAUGAAGUGCCACGUGUUCGGUCCUUGAACACCUCCCGGGAAUGUGACUCCACCACCUCCGUGGGCAGUCUAUUCCGAUGUUUAACCGCGCUUUCUGUUAAGAAAUCCCUCCUGAUGUCCAGCCUUAACCUUCCCUGGACGAGCUUGAGGCCAUGUCCUCUUGUCCUGUCGCUUGUUGCGUGGGAGAAGAGACAGAUACCCAGCUGGCUACUGCCUCCUCUCAUGUCUGUAUGAAGUUGGAACACACUAAAAUUAAGAGUUGCACAAGUUGUAGCUGAAGGGGCCAUUGAAAAACUUUGAUAGGCUCUGGAGCUUUAAGGAAAAACAGGACCAGUAUAAUGAGAUCCACAACCCAUCACAAACACUGGCAAUGCUACUUCAAAUGGCUUCACUUCACUUCACUGAUGUCAGCAAGGACUUUGUAUACACAAAUAUGGAGAUUGCAAUCUUGACUCUGGAAACACUGGAACCUUGAAAUGGUAAAACUGGCUUCUUGUGUUCGGGACAGCUUAGUCCAAUUACAGAUGAGUGAAAGAAAUUAGUUUGAUGAAGAUUGGACCAGUUGCUUCUUCAUCUGAUUGAAUAUCUGUUCACCCUUGUGUGUCCAAGGACAGCAGCAAGUCUUUCUCUCUGUGAGUAUUUUCAUCAGGAUGUCUCAUGGUUGCAAGAAUACAU